GUGUCAGCCGCCGCGGUAAUACGGGGGGAGCGAGCGUUGUUCGGAAUCACUGGGCGUAAAGGGCGCGUAGGCGGUUGAGUAAGUCAGAGGUGAAAUGCCAAGGCUUAACCUUGGAAUUGCCUUUGAUACUGCUUGGCUGGAGGACGGAAGAGGAUAGUGGAAUUCCUGGUGUAGCGGUGAAAUGCGUAGAUAUCAGGAAGAACACCGGUGGCGAAGGCGGCUAUCUGGUCCGUUUCUGACGCUGAUGCGCGAAAGCCAGGGGAGCAAACGGGAUUAGAUACCCGAGUAGUCC
RNAcentral lists this ribosomal RNA (292 nucleotides) under uncultured bacterium. RNAcentral's name for it is "partial 16S ribosomal RNA". It matches the Rfam family "Bacterial small subunit ribosomal RNA", at positions 505 to 796 of the family's 1533-position model. The record is from RNAcentral.